This 64-nucleotide small nucleolar RNA is filed under the name Tursiops truncatus (common bottlenose dolphin). Its description in RNAcentral is "Small nucleolar RNA SNORD112 (ENSTTRG00000025118.1)". Lineage: Eukaryota; Metazoa; Chordata; Mammalia; Artiodactyla; Delphinidae. The record is from RNAcentral.
AUUAAUGAUAAGAAUAUGUCAUGAACCAAGGAUUAUAAUUAACCAAUUUCUGUACAUCUGCAAU